Molecule: transfer-messenger RNA, 354 nt
Filed under: Thermaceae
Lineage: Bacteria; Thermotogati; Deinococcota; Deinococci; Thermales
Also listed under: 1 other name
Description: Meiothermus sp015478585 Standard tmRNA
Rfam family: transfer-messenger RNA
About the family: Bacterial tmRNA, also known as 10Sa RNA or SsrA, is named for its dual tRNA and mRNA-like properties.
Source: RNAcentral
GGGGGCGUUGUGGCUUCGACAGAAGCUCUCGAAGGCAAUACGGCGUGCCGAGGUUCCGGUGGCCUCGUAAAACACCGGAAAAGCCAUAACUGGCAACACUCAGCGUUCUUACGCUCUCGCUGCUUAGUUCAGCGACGUUCCCAAGAAGCCCAGCCGAUGGCGUGCUUGGCGAACGACCUAAAGUCGGCUAGCCUCUGGCAAGGCCCCGUAGCCAAGAGCGAAAUUUAACGGAGCUUUUGGUAGAUAGCCCCUGUCGGUGGGGAACCUAUCCGCGACAUUCAAGCACCGACUAUGCACGUAGAUGUUUGCUGGACAGGUUUUUGGACAGGGGUUCGACACCCCUCGCCUCCACCA